AGCAGCAGCCGCGGUAAUACGGAGGGGGCUAGCGUUGUUCGGAAUUACUGGGCGUAAAGCGUACGUAGGCGGAUAUUUAAGUCAGGGGUGAAAUCCCGAGGCUCAACCUCGGAACUGCCUUUGAUACUGGGUAUCUUGAGUCCGGGAGAGGUGAGUGGAACUCCUAGUGUAGAGGUGAAAUUCGUAGAUAUUAGGAAGAACACCAGUGGCGAAGGCGGCUCACUGGCCCGGAACUGACGCUGAGGUACGAAAGCGUGGGGAGCAAACAGGAUUAGAUACCCCAGUAGUCCCUGUCUCUUAUAA
RNAcentral lists this ribosomal RNA (303 nucleotides) under uncultured bacterium. Its description in RNAcentral is "partial 16S ribosomal RNA". It matches the Rfam family "Bacterial small subunit ribosomal RNA", at positions 507 to 809 of the family's 1533-position model. The record is from RNAcentral.